CCUACGGGGGGCAGCAGUGGGGAAUAUUGCGCAAUGGGCGAAAGCCUGACGCAGCGACGCCGCGUGAGGGAUGAAGGUCCUCGGAUCGUAAACCUCUGUCAGGAGGGAAGAACCGCCACGGUGCUAAUCAGCCGUGGUCUGACGGUACCUCCAAAGGAAGCACCGGCUAACUCCGUGCCAGCAGCCGCGGUAAUACGGAGGGUGCGAGCGUUAAUCGGAAUCACUGGGCGUAAAGCGCACGUAGGCUGCUUGGUAAGUCAGGGGUGAAAGCCCGCGGCUCAACCGCGGAAUUGCCUUUGAUACUGCCGAGCUAGAGUCCGGGAGAGGGUAGUGGAAUUCCAGGUGUAGGAGUGAAAUCCGUAGAGAUCUGGAGGAACAUCAGUGGCGAAGGCGACUACCUGGACCGGUACU
Molecule: ribosomal RNA, 411 nt
Filed under: uncultured Synergistota bacterium
Lineage: Bacteria; Thermotogati; Synergistota
Description: bacterial SSU rRNA
Rfam family: Bacterial small subunit ribosomal RNA
Source: RNAcentral